CAAUAGCGUAUAUUAAAGUUGUUGCGGUUAAAAGCUCGUAGUUGGAUUUCUGCUGAGGACGACCGGUCCGCCCUCCGGGUGAGCAUCUGGUUCGGCCUUGGCAUCUUCUUGGUGAACGUAUCUGCACUUGACUGUGUGGUGCGGUACCCAGGACUUUUACUUUGAGGAAAUUAGAGUGUUUCAAGCAGGCAUACGCCUUGAAUACAUUAGCAUGGAAUAAUAACAUAGGACUUCGGUUUUAUUUUGUUGGUUUCUAAGGCUGAGUAAUGAUUAAUAGGGACAAUUGGGGGCACUCGUACAAACUCGUCAGAGGUGGAAUUCUUGGAUUGAGUUUGUACGAACUACUGCGAAGCAUUUGCCAAGGAUGUUUUCAUUGAUCAAG
RNAcentral lists this ribosomal RNA (382 nucleotides) under uncultured eukaryote. Its description in RNAcentral is "bacterial SSU rRNA". It matches the Rfam family "Eukaryotic small subunit ribosomal RNA", at positions 592 to 981 of the family's 1831-position model. The record is from RNAcentral.